GAUCAUGGCUCAGGAUGAACGCUAGCUACAGGCUUAACACAUGCAAGUCGAGGGGCAGCAUGGUCUUAGCUUGCUAAGGCCGAUGGCGACCGGCGCACGGGUGAGUAACACGUAUCCAACCUGCCGUCUACUCUUGGACAGCCUUCUGAAAGGAAGAUUAAUACAAGAUGGCAUCAUGAGUCCGCAUGUUCACAUGAUUAAAGGUAUUCCGGUAGACGAGUGGGGA
Molecule: ribosomal RNA, 226 nt
Filed under: uncultured bacterium
Lineage: Bacteria
Description: partial 16S ribosomal RNA
Rfam family: Bacterial small subunit ribosomal RNA
Source: RNAcentral